AGAGUUUGAUCCUGGCUCAGAUUGAACGCUGGCGGCAUGCCUUACACAUGCAAGUCGAACGGCAGCAUGAUCUAGCUUGCUAGAUUGAUGGCGAGUGGCGAACGGGUGAGUAAUACAUCGGAACGUGCCCUGUAGUGGGGGAUAACUAGUCGAAAGAUUAGCUAAUACCGCAUACGACCUGAGGGUGAAAGUGGGGGACCGCAAGGCCUCAUGCUAUAGGAGCGGCCGAUGUCUGAUUAGCUAGUUGGUGAGGUAAAGGCUCACCAAGGCGACGAUCAGUAGCUGGUCUGAGAGGACGAUCAGCCACACUGGGACUGAGACACGGCCCAGACUCCUACGGGAGGCAGCAGUGGGGAAUUUUGGACAAUGGGGGCAACCCUGAUCCAGCAAUGCCGCGUGUGUGAAGAAGGCCUUCGGGUUGUAAAGCACUUUUGUCCGGAAAGAAAUCGCACUUACUAAUAUUAGGUGUGGAUGACGGUACCGGAAGAAUAAGGACCGGCUAACUACGUGCCAGCAGCCGCGGUAAUACGUAGGGUCCAAGCGUUAAUCGGAAUUACUGGGCGUAAAGCGUGCGCAGGCGGUUGUGCAAGACCGAUGUGAAAUCCCCGGGCUUAACCUGGGAAUUGCAUUGGUGACUGCA
This 640-nucleotide ribosomal RNA is filed under the name Ralstonia sp. EF10(2012). Its description in RNAcentral is "bacterial SSU rRNA". It matches the Rfam family "Bacterial small subunit ribosomal RNA", at positions 8 to 637 of the family's 1533-position model. Lineage: Bacteria; Pseudomonadati; Pseudomonadota; Betaproteobacteria; Burkholderiales; Burkholderiaceae. The record is from RNAcentral.